RNAcentral lists this small RNA (28 nucleotides) under Bombyx mori (domestic silkworm). RNAcentral describes it as "ovarian small RNA-27540". The record is from RNAcentral. Lineage: Eukaryota; Metazoa; Arthropoda; Insecta; Lepidoptera; Bombycidae.
UCCGCUAAUAAUUCCCCACAGUUCUGGA